RNAcentral lists this ribosomal RNA (442 nucleotides) under uncultured bacterium. RNAcentral describes it as "partial 16S ribosomal RNA". It matches the Rfam family "Bacterial small subunit ribosomal RNA", at positions 338 to 795 of the family's 1533-position model. The record is from RNAcentral.
CCUACGGGAGGCAGCAGUGGGGAAUAUUUGGCAAUGGGCGAAAGCCUGACCCAGCAACGCCGCGUGAAGGAAGAAGGCUUUCGGGUUGUAAACUUCUUUUGACAGGGAAGAGCAGAAGACGGUACCUGUCGAAUAAGCCACGGCUAACUACGUGCCAGCAGCCGCGGUAAUACGUAGGUGGCAAGCGUUGUCCGGAUUUACUGGGUGGAAAGGGCGUGUAGCCGGGCUGACAAGUCAGAUGUGAAAUCCGGGGGCUCAACCCCCGAACUGCAUUUGAAACUGUUGGUCUUGAGUAUCGGAGAGGCAGGCGGAAUUCCUAGUGUAGCGGUGAAAUGCGUAGAUAUUAGGAGGAACACCAGUGGCGAAGGCGGCCUGCUGGACGACAACUGACGGUGAGGCGCGAAAGCGUGGGGAGCAAACAGGAUUAGAUACCCUUGUAGUC